CUACGGGAGGCAGCAGUAGGGAAUCUUCCGCAAUGGGCGAAAGCCUGACGGAGCAACGCCGCGUGAGUGAUGAAGGUCUUCGGAUCGUAAAACUCUGUUAUUAGGGAAGAACAUAUGUGUAAGUAACUGUGCACAUCUUGACGGUACCUAAUCAGAAAGCCACGGCUAACUACGUGCCAGCAGCCGCGGUAAUACGUAGGUGGCAAGCGUUAUCCGGAAUUAUUGGGCGUAAAGCGCGCGUAGGCGGUUUUUUAAGUCUGAUGUGAAAGCCCACGGCUCAACCGUGGAGGGUCAUUGGAAACUGGAAAACUUGAGUGCAGAAGAGGAAAGUGGAAUUCCAUGUGUAGCGGUGAAAUGCGCAGAGAUAUGGAGGAACACCAGUGGCGAAGGCGACUUUCUGGUCUGUAACUGACGCUGAUGUGCGAAAGCGUGGGGAUCAAACAGGAUUAGAUACCCUGGUAGUCCACGCCGUAAACGAUG
Molecule: ribosomal RNA, 480 nt
Filed under: Staphylococcus aureus
Lineage: Bacteria; Bacillati; Bacillota; Bacilli; Caryophanales; Staphylococcaceae
Description: bacterial SSU rRNA
Rfam family: Bacterial small subunit ribosomal RNA
Source: RNAcentral